Molecule: ribosomal RNA, 468 nt
Filed under: uncultured bacterium
Lineage: Bacteria
Description: partial 16S ribosomal RNA
Rfam family: Bacterial small subunit ribosomal RNA
Source: RNAcentral
GACGAACGCUGGCGGCGUGCUUAACACAUGCAAGUCGAACGGAAAGGCCCUGCUUUUGUGGGGUGCUCGAGUGGCGAACGGGUGAGUAACACGUGAGUAACCUGCCCUUGACUUUGGGAUAACUUCAGGAAACUGGGGCUAAUACCGGAUAGGAGCUCCUGCUGCAUGGUGGGGGUUGGAAAGUUUCGGCGGUUGGGGAUGGACUCGCGGCUUAUCAGCUUGUUGGUGGGGUAGUGGCUUACCAAGGCUUUGUCGGGUAGCCGGCCUGAGAGGGUGACCGGCCACAUUGGGACUGAGAUACGGCCCAGACUCCUACGGGAGGCAGCAGUGGGGAAUAUUGCACAAUGGGCGGAAGCCUGAUACAGCAACGCCGCGUGCGGGAUGACGGCCUUCGGGUUGUAAACCGCUUUCGCCUGUGACGAAGCGUGAGUGACGGUAAUGGGUAAAGAAGCACCGGCUAACUACGUG